CCAGCCCGGAGCGACUUGGGAUGUCCCGGGGCGGCCAGCGCGGCAGGUGGGCGGGCGCCCCGGGUUCUGGCUGAGCUAGGGUUCCCCGAGGCGGGCUGCGAGUACGGGGGCGGGCGACUCCCACAGGGGACCCGGGGCGAGCACGCGAGCCACACACGCCACCCGGCCCAAGUUUCCUUUGUUUCCCGGGCCCUGCCAUCUUACCCCCCCAACCCGAAAAGUCGCAGCCGCAGGCGCCACGCGAGCUGCCCGGAGUUCUGGGCUGGGUUUUCUCAAGUGCCCGGUACAAGGGGGAACGGGAUAGGAUUGGCAGGUCUCUGGGCUGUGGCGCACGGGGUUGGCGAGGAGACCAGGCGCCGCCUCGCGCUGACCCUAGGCGGCUGCACGGCGGGGAUCGCGGGGACCCCGGGUCCCAGCAGGUCCAGGACUCGACGAGACCUCCCACCCAGAGGACACCCCUCCCCCAACUGCUGCGGCCGCGCAGUCCCACCAGAACUCGGAAUUCCUGGGGACGCGCUUGUUGGGGCUCUGUGGCACUUGCUUUCGGCAAACGCUUUCGGGAUCAAGCCGUUUCUUUCUCAUGGUUGCCGUUUGGUGCUAUGAUAAAGCGUGGAAAAAUUUUAGUCAUCCGUCUGCACAUUUUAAUGGAAUCCCUCAACCGUUCUAUUGUGAAAACUUCAAAGCAAAUUUUAAAAUAAUUUAGUGGUAGAAUAUUUUUAAUCACGGGGCUUAAACCUUUCUAUUUAAAGUUUAGCCUACGUGUUUUACAGACCUUAAAGUAAAACAGACCAAACCUAGCAACGAUAGAGAUUUGUUUAAAUUUCAAUUUUUGCAGAACAGCCUCAUAAAAAACGAGGUUAGUUUUAUGGGAGCAAACUGAACAAUGGAAUCCAUAGUCGUCGGUUAAUGACUGCAUUAGCCUGAGCCUCACCACCCAGCCACAGCCGCCCAGUAACUUUCCACGUGUGAGAUGUGCUUGGGAACACAGGAAUUUUUGUCUAGCACCGGUGAACUUUCCUGUUUAACAGUUACCACACUGUACAGAAACGUCCUUUGGUACACAGCCUGGGCACUCCUCUUCCAGGGUGUCGAAAGCACCACUGACUCAAUAGCGCCUAAUCCCAAGGGCCCUGUCUUCCGAGGGCCAGGACAAGCCCACGGGACUACUGGUGUCAGCCAUGGCUUCCAUUUAUUUUGCCCUCUGCUUCUUUUUUCUCGCCUCUCCUCUACUCUCCAUUCUUCCCCUCCCUCCCCUCCCUCCUUCUUGGUAUUAACUUAAGGAAAUGUGCGGGGGGUUGUGGUUAACAAUACAACCUCUGGAGCCAGGCUAUCGGUGCUGCAAAUGCUGUGAGGCAUUUGUACUUAGGGCGAAAAGCUGCAACUCCAUGCUUUGUAAAAUGGAGCCUGUAAUAGUAUAAUCGAUGAAUUAUUAAGCAAUUACUGUGCACGGGGUAUGGAAGCACGUGCCUGGAAUCGGAGCUCUCAUAAGGCAGAGGCAGAAAGAUCACAGCAAGGCCAGCCUGGUCUACAUAAGUUCCAGGCUACCCAGGGCCAUAUAGCAAGACCCCUGUCUCAGAAACAAAACAACAAAGGAGUGUUGUGUGUGUUAGAGCAGUGCCGACCUCCGAGGUCUCUCUUGAUGUUUGCUACCUGCCCGGGUAGCAGGAAACAGAAAGUGAUCUUCCCUAGAUCUCUGUGAUUCGACGGAAGCAUGAAGCUGAGCGAAGGCUCACCACUGGUCAGGGGUGCAGGACCUCCACCUGGACCCGUCCCCUCCACAGCUGAAGACACACAGAAUUCUGAGCCGAUCCCUUUGCCCAUCUUCCCAGAAGAUGUAGUAUGACCAGAACUUCAGUGUACCCGGAAGCAGAAGUCCAUUCUGCCCCUCCUGACCCUUAAAGGUAGAAGCACACAACUCCUUCUAGAAGCUACUCUGACUUUGUUUAUGAGUCUGUUCUUCCUGCUCUUCCGGCUUCCCACAGUUUGGUUUCUUAUUAGCCUGUGAUAGCCCAAGUCACUGCACUGAAGAGAAUCUUACAGUUA
This is a long non-coding RNA of Mesocricetus auratus (golden hamster), 2043 nucleotides long. RefSeq lists it as uncharacterized. Lineage: Eukaryota; Metazoa; Chordata; Mammalia; Rodentia; Cricetidae. The transcript has 2 exons. The record is from RefSeq and is a predicted model, not a curated record.